RNAcentral lists this ribosomal RNA (194 nucleotides) under uncultured bacterium. RNAcentral describes it as "partial 16S ribosomal RNA". It matches the Rfam family "Bacterial small subunit ribosomal RNA", at positions 338 to 524 of the family's 1533-position model. The record is from RNAcentral.
CCUACGGGAGGCAGCAGUGGGGAAUAUUGGACAAUGGGCGAAAGCCUGAUCCAGCCAUGCCGCGUGUGUGAAGAAGGUCUUCGGAUUGUAAAGCACUUUAAGUUGGGAGGAAGGGUUGUAGAUUAAUACUCUGCAAUUUUGACGUUACCAACAAAAUAAGCACCGGCUAACUCUGUGCCAGCAGCCGCGGUAAU